RNAcentral lists this ribosomal RNA (507 nucleotides) under Triticum aestivum (bread wheat). RNAcentral describes it as "partial small subunit ribosomal RNA". Lineage: Eukaryota; Viridiplantae; Streptophyta; Magnoliopsida; Poales; Poaceae. The record is from RNAcentral.
AUGGGUUUCCCCUUCAUCCCGUUCCAGACGGAGAAGGAGGAGGCGCCGGUCCUCCAGGCCAAGGCGAAGAAGGCCAAGCCGGAGGACGCGAUGAUCAAGGCCGAGGUGGAGGCCAUGACGAUCACGACGGAGGAGGGGCUCAUCAAGUUCAUGGAGCUGCUGGAGAAGGAGGCGGCGUUCCUCAAGGCCAAGGCGGAGGCGGAGAAGGAGGCGGCGGGGUGUGGCUCCAAGAGAAAGCCGGAGUUGGAGCGGGACGAGGAGUUGGCGGCGUUCGUGGCGCGGAUGGAGGCCUUGAGGCCGUUGUACGGGGAUGAGGAUGUUUCAGACGGCUACAACUCGCAGGACGACGACCCGAACACCACCUUCGACGACGUCAUGGCGCAGUUGGAGCAGCAAAUCCAGGCCAACAACGCUCGCUGGCCUUUCUUAAUUGGUGGCGGCCAAAUCAAAUCCCCUGAAGAUGAUGAUUGUGUGACACCUGAUGAGAAGGAGCUUCACCAAUGCUAG